CCUCCCGCCCCCGGGUCUACGGAUCACACCUUGAGCUCGCGUCUCAGGGAAGCAAAUAGUUCAACAUGAAGGCCGUAAUAUUUGUUGGAGGAUAUGGAAGUCUGACUUCUGCCUUUGACAUACUGUAUCCCGAAGCUGCUAGUAGAUUCUACUAACAAACACAUCAUCUUCCAUCAGGAUAUGUACAACUUCCUGAUGGAUUCUGUGGAGAAUCUUGGCGUGAAAAUCACAUACUCACGAGAGACAGAGCCCUAGGGAUGCUGGCCCUCUUGUUCUUGCCAGGGAUAAGCUUGUGGAUGGAUCUGUUGAACCUUCUUUCGUCCUAAACUGCAAUAUCAUUUUGAAUACUCUUUUGCCUAGCUAUUAUGAUUUCACAACAGUAUAGCAGCAGUUCUUUUCUCCCACCAAAUCAGUACUAGCCACCAACCACCAGCCACUAGCCAGCCAACAAUACAUUUUUCUCACAGCAAAUCAGCACCAGCCACCAGCCACAGUCAGCAGAGCAUAACAGAGUGAAUUAUGGCCACGAAGGUAAAUAGCUGCCUUUGCUGUCUCCAUUGUCGCGGAACCAUUUUCCUAGGUACUGACUUUUCUGUCAAGCAUGGUGUUGUGAUUACAGAGGAGGUAACAGGAAGGGUUCAACGUUUUGUGGAGAAGCCAAAGACAUUUGUUUGUGGGUGACAACGUUAACGCAGGCAUUUGCUUGUUGGAGCCCUCCACUCCGUCCUUGACUGUAUUCCGUUGAAGCCAACGUCAUUUGAGAAGAAGUUGUUCCCUCGAAUUGUGGCCGAGAAAGAAGCUCUAGCCAUGGUUCUUCCACAGUUCUGGAUGGACUUCACCGGCCUGCAGCUGUACCUGGGUUCAGUCAGGAAGAGCUCACCUGGCCGGCUAGCCAGGCGAGCACGUCGUCAGGGACGUCCUGGGGCAUGAUGGAAGAAGGCUGUUUUGUGAGCUCUGCAACCGUUCCACAGCUGGUCCAAGAACCAAGACAUUGGUGAAGACUGAAGAGACCAGGCUCUACAACCGUUUGAACGGCUUGUGCUGUAUGAACUCUAUCAUUCUUCUUCUUAACUAAAAAAAAGCA
Molecule: long non-coding RNA, 1084 nt
Organism: Panicum virgatum (switchgrass)
Lineage: Eukaryota; Viridiplantae; Streptophyta; Magnoliopsida; Poales; Poaceae
Exons: 3
Source: RefSeq, a predicted model, not a curated record